RNAcentral lists this long non-coding RNA (320 nucleotides) under Nicotiana benthamiana. RNAcentral describes it as "long non-coding RNA (NBEN_LNC007484)". Lineage: Eukaryota; Viridiplantae; Streptophyta; Magnoliopsida; Solanales; Solanaceae. The record is from RNAcentral.
GCAUUUGGUGAAUUCCCCCAGUGAGGUGGUUUGUGAAUAUGUCUCUGGCCAGAAUUCACUUUGAUGGAAUUACUUUGUAUAUGAGUUGCAAAUAAUCAAAUUGUCGUGUGCUAUAAGUAAACCUGUACCUACAGUUUCUUGAUGCAAUCCAUGUGACCUCAACAGUUCACUUUAAUGGAAUUACUUUGUAUGAGUUGCAAAUAAUCAAAUUGUGGUGUGCUGUAAAUAAAUCUGCACCUAUAUUUUCUUGAUGCAAUCCGUGUGACCGCAACAUUCCUUGUAAUCAAAUAUCUCUGUACUGUAAAUAAAUCUGUGCCAAC